This 222-nucleotide ribosomal RNA is filed under the name uncultured bacterium. Its description in RNAcentral is "partial 16S ribosomal RNA". It matches the Rfam family "Bacterial small subunit ribosomal RNA", at positions 109 to 334 of the family's 1533-position model. The record is from RNAcentral.
AGUAAUGUAUGGGGAUCUGCCUGAUGGCGGGGGAUAACUACUGGAAACGGUAGCUAAUACCGCAUAACGUCGCAAGACCAAAGAGGGGGACCUUAGGGCCUCUUGCCAUCGGAUGUGCCCAGAUGGGAUUAGCUAGUAGGUGGGGUAAUGGCUCACCUAGGCGACGAUCCCUAGCUGGUCUGAGAGGAUGAUCAGCCACACUGGGACUGAGACACGGCCCAG